Long non-coding RNA from Triticum aestivum (bread wheat), 868 nucleotides. RefSeq lists it as uncharacterized. The record is from RefSeq and is a predicted model, not a curated record. Lineage: Eukaryota; Viridiplantae; Streptophyta; Magnoliopsida; Poales; Poaceae. The transcript has 3 exons.
GAAAACAAAGUGACGGCGACGAGCAGAGCCGUGGCUCGCGUCCGUUUGCGAAAAUUGUGCGUGGAUCAGAUAGGUGUACGCGUCGUUGGCUCGAAAAUAGCGCCGUCAUGGGUGGUCAGUAAUUGUUGACACUUUGACCUUUCAGCACGCAGCGGAAGGCGAAAAAAUGGCGGCGGCUAGCAAUAUGGGAGAAGGCGCCUCCCUGCCCGACAGCGGACUCGAGUUUCUACUGGAUCCGGUUGAUAGAUAAUUGCUCUGUCCUACUCUUUUGUUCUUUCUUCCUGCAGCCGCGCGAGCGGAUUAUGGCGACAACGGGCCUUUGAUUUCUAGAGCAUGCUGUAAGUUUCCGCUGAGAGAGGCGAUUGCAUAAGUGGGACAGCCAGAUCCGUUGGUGUCAAGGGGCAUCGUGCCGUCGGCUAAGGCUGAUGCCGACUUCUCCUGCACGGUUGUGGUUGGACACCUCGGCGGCGCUGCUGAGCGCGGCGGCAAGAAGAAAGAGUCGCCAACCCAGUCCGUGAAAUCGACCGGGAAGGUGAACUCAGAGGCGCCGGGGUGGACCAGAAGGGUGAGAGUUGGCCGUGCACCUCUGCAUAGGGCACCCUGCCCUGGUAGAGUCACUCUACUGGAAGAAACAAUCCGGAGGCCAAGUCCUUCCAAACAAAACAGCAAACCAAGUCUUCCAAGCAAACCAGCAGGAAGCAAGAAACCAGGCAGUAGUUUGUAAUCCUGUUGAGUUUACUGAAAUGGGCAUCAUGUUUACUGAAUGCGCAUCAUGUUUCAGAAUUUGGAGGGUUCUCUCUCGCUGUACACUGAAUCUUGUGUCUUCUGUACACUUUCUGAAUGAGCAAGAAACCAAGCAAAACGUUGA